AUGGCGACCCUGGGCGUGCUACUGCUGCUGCUCCGGAGGAACGCUCACCUAGAGCAGGAUCUCGACCUUCGCUUCCGCCUCUUCCGCUACUGGGACUCCCUACCCGAUGGGCACGCCUAG
Molecule: ribosomal RNA, 120 nt
Filed under: Triticum aestivum (bread wheat)
Lineage: Eukaryota; Viridiplantae; Streptophyta; Magnoliopsida; Poales; Poaceae
Description: partial small subunit ribosomal RNA
Source: RNAcentral